CAGCCGCCGCGGUAAUACGAAGGGGGCUAACGUUGUUCGGAAUUACUGGGCGUAAAGCGCACGUAGGCGGACAUUUAAGUCAGGGGUGAAAUCCCGGGGCUCAACCCCGGAACUGCCUUUGAUACUGGGUGUCUAGAGUAUGGAAGAGGUGAGUGGAAUUCCGAGUGUAGAGGUGAAAUUCGUAGAUAUUCGGAGGAACACCAGUGGCGAAGGCGGCUCACUGGUCCAUUACUGACGCUGAGGUGCGAAAGCGUGGGGAGCAAACAGGAUUAGAGACCCCCGUAGUCCCUGUCUCUUAUAC
Molecule: ribosomal RNA, 301 nt
Filed under: uncultured bacterium
Lineage: Bacteria
Description: partial 16S ribosomal RNA
Rfam family: Bacterial small subunit ribosomal RNA
Source: RNAcentral